RNAcentral lists this unclassified non-coding RNA (335 nucleotides) under soil metagenome. RNAcentral describes it as "partial contains 5.8S ribosomal RNA, internal transcribed spacer 2, and large subunit ribosomal RNA". The stretch from base 1 to 120 matches the Rfam family "5.8S ribosomal RNA", at positions 35 to 154 of the family's 154-position model. The record is from RNAcentral.
GAUGAAGAACGUAGCGAAAUGCGAUAAGUAAUGUGAAUUGCAGAAUUCAGUGAAUCAUCGAAUCUUUGAACGCACAUUGCGCCCAUUAGCAUUCUAGUGGGCAUGCCUGUUCGAGCGUCAUUUCAACCCUUAAGCCCUGUUGCUUAGCGUUGGGAGCCUACAGUACUGUAGCUCCCCAAAGUUAGUGGCGGAGUCGGUUUCACACUCUAGACGUAGUAAUUUUUUCUCGUCUGUAGUUGAGCCGGUCCCCUGCAGUAAAACACCCAAUUUAUCAAGGUUGACCUCGGAUCAGGUAGGAAUACCCGCUGAACUUAAGCAUAUCAAUAAGCGGAGGA